CCGCGCCGGGCGGUGGCGUUGCUGCGCCGGGUGCUGCAACUGCUCGGUGAUUCGCGGUUCCACUUCCUCCGGGCGCGGGC
RNAcentral lists this transfer RNA (80 nucleotides) under Plantactinospora endophytica. Its description in RNAcentral is "tRNA-Cys". The record is from RNAcentral. Lineage: Bacteria; Bacillati; Actinomycetota; Actinomycetes; Micromonosporales; Micromonosporaceae.